This 492-nucleotide ribosomal RNA is filed under the name uncultured bacterium. Its description in RNAcentral is "partial 16S ribosomal RNA". It matches the Rfam family "Bacterial small subunit ribosomal RNA", at positions 29 to 507 of the family's 1533-position model. The record is from RNAcentral.
AGUGAACGCUGGCGGUAGGCCUAACACAUGCAAGUCGAACGGCAGCACAGUAAGAGCUUGCUCUUACGGGUGGCGAGUGGCGGACGGGUGAGGAAUACAUCGGAAUCUACUUUUUCGUGGGGGAUAACGUAGGGAAACUUACGCCAAUACCGCAUACGACGUACGGGUGAAAGCAGGGGACCUUCGGACCUUGCGCGAUUGAAUGAGCCGAUGUCGGAUUAGCUAGUUGGCGGGGUAAAGGCCCACCAAGGCGACGAUCCGUAGCUGGUCUGAGAGGAUGAUCAGCCACACUGGAACUGAGACACGGUCCAGACUCCUACGGGAGGCAGCAGUGGGGAAUAUUGGACAAUGGGCGCAAGCCUGAUCCAGCCAUACCGCGUGGGUGAAGAAGGCCUUCGGGUUGUAAAGCCCUUUUGUUGGGAAAGAAAAGCAGCAGGUUAAUACCCCGCUGUUCUGACGGUACCCAAAGAAUAAGCACCGGCUAACUUCGUG